UACGAAGGGUGCAAGCGUUACUCGGAAUUACUGGGCGUAAAGCGUGCGUAAGUGGUUUGUUAAGUCUGAUGUGAAAGCCCUGGGCUCAACCUGGGAAUUGCAUUGGAUGCUGGCAGGCUAGAGUGCGGUAGAGGAUGGCGGAAUUCCCGGUGUAGCAGUGAAAUGCGUAGAGAUCGGGAGGAACAUCUGUGGCGAAGGCGGCCAUCUGGACCAGCACUGACACUGAGGCACGAAAGCGUGGGGAGCAAACAGG
Molecule: ribosomal RNA, 253 nt
Filed under: uncultured bacterium
Lineage: Bacteria
Description: partial 16S ribosomal RNA
Rfam family: Bacterial small subunit ribosomal RNA
Source: RNAcentral